UUGUACCUUAUCUUCCAUUUACUUUAACACUCCCACUUUGUUAUUGAUCAAAGGCUAAUAAACCUAAUUCCUUUGUCAAUUUAUAAUGUCUAUCCUUUACUGAUGCUUUUGUAAGUAAAUCAGCAGCAUGUGUUCCAUUGCACAAUACUUUAUGUCAAUUAUUCCCAUCUCAAUCUUCUCCCAUAUGAAGUGAUGUUGAAUGUCAAUGUACUUUGUCC
Molecule: long non-coding RNA, 218 nt
Filed under: Physcomitrium patens
Lineage: Eukaryota; Viridiplantae; Streptophyta; Bryopsida; Funariales; Funariaceae
Description: long non-coding RNA (PPAT_LNC011134)
Source: RNAcentral